UACUCCUACGGGAGGCAGCAGUAGGGAAUCUUCCGCAAUGGGCGAAAGCCUGACGGAGCAACGCCGCGUGAGUGAUGAAGGUCUUCGGAUCGUAAAACUCUGUUAUUAGGGAAGAACAUAUGUGUAAGUAACUGUGCACAUCUUGACGGUACCUAAUCAGAAAGCCACGGCUAACUACGUGCCAGCAGCCGCGGUAAUACGUAGGUGGCAAGCGUUAUCCGGAAUUAUUGGGCGUAAAGCGCGCGUAGGCGGUUUUUUAAGUCUGAUGUGAAAGCCCACGGCUCAACCGUGGAGGGUCAUUGGAAACUGGAAAACUUGAGUGCAGAAGAGGAAAGUGGAAUUCCAUGUGUAGCGGUGAAAUGCGCAGAGAUAUGGAGGAACACCAGUGGCGAAGGCGACUUUCUGGUCUGUAACUGACGCUGAUGUGCGAAAGCGUGGGGAUCAAACAGGAUUAGAUACCCUGGUAGUCCACGCCGUAAACGAUGAGUGCUAAGUGUUAGGGGGUUUCCGCCCCUUAGUGCUGCAGCUAACGCAUUAAGCACUCCGCCUGGGGAGUACGACCGCAAGGUUGAAAA
Molecule: ribosomal RNA, 575 nt
Filed under: uncultured bacterium
Lineage: Bacteria
Description: bacterial SSU rRNA
Rfam family: Bacterial small subunit ribosomal RNA
Source: RNAcentral